GGGAAAUGUGGACUAAAAAAGACGGCUGCGAGGCCCAAGUUGCCAAUUUUGGAGCUCCGCUGCAGGCAGACGGCUCCUAGGGGAGCGUGUUUGGCAAAGGUGGGGGUUGCCGCCUCUCUCCGCGCCUUUUUUGGGCAGCCCUUUGAACAAUACGCCCAUGUUUCGCUGGAUAGCUUCCAUUUUCAGUGGGGGCGGUCUGCGCGAGUUUAGGCCCUUCCCUCCACAUUCUUUCGCAUCUGUUAUGUCCCCACCCCCAAAUCCUCUCAGUCUUUGGGUCCUGGGAGUUAAGAGAUAGGAUGCCCUACCCCGGGAUGAGAACAGCACACCUUUCAACCCAGGACCUUCAACAAGAAAGGAGGGAAGUUGAGUUUCAGCUUACCUGUUUUUAAAGUACGGUUACCUGAGUAGAGCAUGGAUUUGGGAGGAUAAUUGCAACACUGGGUAACCGGAUGCUGGAAACAUUUAGUUUUACCUGCCUCUGAACCCUAUGACAACGGGAACCUCGGCCCUUCCAGGCACAUUUUAUUAAAUAACAUUCAGAUCGUUCGGUGCUAAGUGUGGCAUGAAGGACUUUGGGUCAGGGGAAGUAAGGCGACCCCAGUUUGAAUCCCACCCCCCAGAAGUGCGACCUUUGUUUCAUCUUAACUCAUGUAAAUUAGCCUUACACAUUGACUUGUAUGUUUUUAUUUCAUAGGAUGCAGUGAAAUGCCC
Molecule: long non-coding RNA, 711 nt
Filed under: Marmota monax (woodchuck)
Lineage: Eukaryota; Metazoa; Chordata; Mammalia; Rodentia; Sciuridae
Source: RNAcentral